CAGAGCUGGAGGGGACACCUGGCUUGUCAAUCAGAGCACUUCCGCACCUUUCCAAGAUAAGGAGACCCCGUGUCCGUUAGUGCCGGACAUCCAGGAGGACCCUGGGAAACUGGGCGCUGAGCACGACCCUAAGUGGAACCACAGCUGAAGACUCCAUGUGACUUUAAGCUCAACUCCUAUUCACCAUCAGAGAUAAGACACCAGUGCUACUUGUUGCCAGAAGCAAGUAUAGCAAAGCAAACUGGAAUGAAAACCCAUAAAAGACAUAAUCUGUCAGUGUCUUCCAGACAUUGAAAAUAAUGUUUUCUGAUCUCCCACUGCUAUAGCGAAGGUUUUUCCAGGUUAAAUCACUUAGUUUUGUGCAUUAGCAUGCUACCAUUUUUAAAUUAGCACAAACCAUAUGGUUCAACUGAGACUCGUUUAAUUAGCCUGGCAAACAUUUAACGUGAAAAUGUUGCAAAAUGGAAGAGCAGGUGAUCAAACAAUGCAUCCUCUGGGGACUAUGAAUGUAUUUCUGGAAUCCAAAAUAUCAAUAUUUAAUUCCAAAUGUCAACUGAAUAUCUAAAAAUCGUUUU
This is a long non-coding RNA of Gasterosteus aculeatus aculeatus (three-spined stickleback), 575 nucleotides long. The record is from Ensembl. Lineage: Eukaryota; Metazoa; Chordata; Actinopteri; Perciformes; Gasterosteidae.